ACGGAAGGCAGCAGUGGGGAAUAUUGCACAAUGGGGGAAACCCUGAUGCAGCGACGCCGCGUGAGUGAAGAAGUUAUUCGUAAUGUAAAGCUCUAUCAGCAGGGAAGAAAAUGACGGUACCUGACUAAGAAGCCCCGGCUAACUACGUGCCAGCAGCCGCGGUAAUACGUAGGGGGCAAGCGUUAUCCGGAUUUACUGGGUGUAAAGGGAGCGUAGACGGUCUGGCAAGUCUGAUGUGAAAGGCAGGGGCUCAACUCCUGGACUGCAUUGGAAACUGUCAGUCUUGAGUGCCGGAGAGGUAAGCGGAAUUCCUAGUGUAGCGGUGAAAUGCGUAGAUAUUAGGAGGAACACCAGUGGCGAAGGCGGCCUACUGGACAGUAACUGACGUUGAGGCUCGAAAGCGUGGGGAGCAAACAGGAUUAGAUACCCUGGUA
RNAcentral lists this ribosomal RNA (434 nucleotides) under uncultured Lachnospiraceae bacterium. Its description in RNAcentral is "partial 16S ribosomal RNA". It matches the Rfam family "Bacterial small subunit ribosomal RNA", at positions 341 to 792 of the family's 1533-position model. The record is from RNAcentral. Lineage: Bacteria; Bacillati; Bacillota; Clostridia; Lachnospirales; Lachnospiraceae.